GCCCGAGUGGCGGAAUGGCAGACGCACACGACUCAAAAUCGUGCGGGAAACCGUGUGGGUUCAAGUCCCACCUUGGGCACCA
This 82-nucleotide transfer RNA is filed under the name Clostridia bacterium. Its description in RNAcentral is "tRNA-Leu". It matches the Rfam family "tRNA". Rfam says of the family: Transfer RNA (tRNA) molecules are approximately 80 nucleotides in length. Their secondary structure includes four short double-helical elements and three loops (D, anti-codon, and T loops). Lineage: Bacteria; Bacillati; Bacillota; Clostridia. The record is from RNAcentral.